RNAcentral lists this ribosomal RNA (403 nucleotides) under uncultured prokaryote. Its description in RNAcentral is "bacterial SSU rRNA". It matches the Rfam family "Bacterial small subunit ribosomal RNA", at positions 355 to 774 of the family's 1533-position model. The record is from RNAcentral.
UAGGGAAUAUUGCACAAUGGGCGAAAGCCUGAUGCAGCAACGCCGCGUGCGCGAUGACGGCCUUCGGGUUGUAAAGCGCUUUUCGGGGAGAUGAGGAAGGACAGUAUCCCCGGAAUAAGGCUCGGCUAACUACGUGCCAGCAGCCGCGGUAACACGUAGGAGCCAAGCGUUAUCCGAAUUCACUGGGCGUAAAGCGCGUGUAGGCGGCUUGGUAAGUUGGAUGUAAAAGCUCCUGGCUCAACUGGGAGAGGACGUUCAAUACUGCCGGGCUAGAGGGCGACAGAGGGAGGUGGAAUUCCCGGUGUAGUGGUGAAAUGCGUAGAUAUCGGGAGGAACACCAGUGGCGAAAGCGGCCUCCUGGGUCGCACCUGACGCUCAGACGCGAAAGCUAGGGGAGCGAACG